RNAcentral lists this long non-coding RNA (4488 nucleotides) under Octopus vulgaris (common octopus). Lineage: Eukaryota; Metazoa; Mollusca; Cephalopoda; Octopoda; Octopodidae. The record is from RNAcentral.
GCCUGGACCAAUCUUUGGCCAAAACAUCUAAGUUUAUAUAUAUAUAUAACCUUGUAUAAUUUAUAUAUAUAUAUAUAUAUAUAUAUAUGCUUAUAAACUUUUAAUGCACACUCACACACACAUACUUACUUAUAUAUAUAUAUUUGUAUUUAUAUAUAUAUAUAUUUUUACACAUAUAUAUACAUUUUCACACACACAUGCACAUAUAUUUAUAUAUGAGUUGUCAGGUCUGAGAGAUUUGUUUUCCUCAUUUAUUUCCAUCCCUACAUUCAAGCAACUGUUUUGCACAGAUUGGUUUCUAAUUUAUUUUACUUUUUGUUCAUGACUUCUUGCCAAAGUUCUACUCUCGUGUCAAUGCUUUGAUGGUCAAAAUUUCCAGGUCUUAACGAGAAAAAUUUAUUGAGCCACAUUUUCUGCUCUAUCCAGACUGCUUGAGACUGACCAAAAAAAAGGUGAUAAUUUAAGGUGGUUUAUCAGGAGAAUAUGUGGUCAUGGUAGGACUACAUAAAGCAGCUCUUGAUUUGCAUUUUUGAUCAGAUUUGUGAUGUUGAGGCAGGUGUUGUUGUGCUAAAGAAGUGCAGCUUGUUGCUUGACAGGGUGUUUCAGCUGAAUUGCCCACCGUGUGAAUAUGACAAGCAGUAGUAUCAUGAGAUCAUCUAAUCUGCUUGGACAAUUCACUAGUCAAUUGGAGUGGAUCCUACUGAAUGAAAUUAUUUAAUCAAUCCUCAGAAAAAUAGAGAAGUUGGCCAGAAUAUGGAGAGUAUAUGAGGUUGAAUUUGCCCCACCUUGAAGCAUGGAAACCAUUCCUGUGAAGCUUUAAGUUAUGGCACAUUUUUUUUGUAUGCAGCUCAAGUUUUGUGGAGUGACAUUAUAACUUUUGAAAUCUUGGCUGAAGGUGAAACGAAGCAGGUGUCAAAAACUCUAAUUUUUUUUUCCUGCUUAGCACUCCAUUGUGAUACAUCUGAAAAGAGGUAAAAAUGAUUCAAAUUUCAAAAUCAGUAAACAAAAGUUCUAAAGAAAGGACUGAAAAAAACCCCUAUAAAACACUACAAUGAAAUAUUCUUCAUGUUAAUUCAAAUACUAGAAUAAGAUGAAUAAAAUCUGACAACCAAUAUAUGUGUGUGUGUAUAUAUAUAUAUAUAUAUCAUGAGUAUAUAUGUGUGUGUAAUAUGUACAUUAAACAUAAAUGUUUUAUAUACAGACAUACCUAUAUAUACGUAUAGUGUAUCUAUUUAUGCUGCAAACACAUAUGUAUAUAUCUAUAUAACUAUGUAGAUAUUUAUAUAUAUAUAUGCAUAUACACACACAUACACAUAUGUAUUUAUAACGAUAUAUUUAUACAUGUGUGUAUGCAUAUGCAUGUAUAUGAGUCAUCUCUCAUAUAUAUAUAUAUAUAUGUAUGUAUGUAUAUAUAUCUACAUGACCACUUCGCUACACUGUACAUCUGUGCAAACAUUCCGAGAGUCCAAAAGGUUCCUGGGUGUGAAUUCAUUUUAAGUGGAUAAAGUGUUGCACUGCACUGAACCACCUGUUCAGUAAAAUUGGCUCUAAAACUUAUGGCACAAUUGCUAUUGAGUUGACCGUUGACCAGAAACAAGCUUCACUACAGGUCUUAAGUUUACCUUCUUGAGGAAGGAUAGAUGUUCUGACAAGAACUAGGGGUCCUUCGCUCACAGUGGAUUGACAUGCUAGUUAACACACAGCUGGGAGUCUUGGCAGGUGCUACAACUUCAGGUCAUUAUAGACCUUGGAAUAAUAAUGGCUAAGUGGUGGUUCGACACUUCUUAAAAUUCUGGAAACUCUCAUGCAAGAGUCCCACUACAAGAUGCAAUUUAAAGACACACCUGGAACAUAAAUAUAUAUAUAUAUAUAUAUAUUCAUAUUCAUAAUAUAUAUAUAUAUAUAUAUCUAUAUAUUAUGUAUGUGUAUAUAUAUAUAUAUAUAUUAUUCAUACAUGUAUAUAUAUAUAUAUAUAUCAUGUAUGAAUAAAGAUAUGUGUGUGAAUGACUAUAUGUGCAUGUAUGUAUGAAUAUAUAUGUAUAUAUGUGUGCAUGUGUAUAUUAAUACAUGUAUACGAUAUAUUUACCUAUACACAUGUAUUAUAAAAUUUAUGCUCACAUGUGAAUAUAUAAAUAUACGUGUGUGACAAACUUUGAACUCCUCUACAGCAAGAAAUCUGUUCAUAUCUGGCUUCUUCCCCUGUGUAUUAAGACCUCAUCUAUCUUCCUUGGUGUUCUUGUUUAGUUAUGCAACAUAAUUGCUGAGAGCAGUUGUGCUGAUGGUAUCAAAAGGUGCACUGAGAAUAUGAUCGAACGUGAUUGGAGCUAGGAAGGGCAUCUAGCCAUAGAAGCAAUGUCCAAGGAUACAAUGGAACAUGAUGCUAUCUUUGAACCUGUCAGAUCAUCUCACACCGUCCAACCUAAGCCAAUAGGGAUUAGCUAUGUAAGGUGAUAAUGAUGAUGAUGAUGACUUUCCCUAUACAUACACAUAUAUGUAUAUAUGUAUUGUUUUAUAUAUAUAUAUAUAUAUAUAUACAUAUAUAUAUAUAUGUGUAUACUUAUAUAUAUAUGUGUGUGUGUAUACAUAUAUAUAUAUAUAUAUUUGUGUGUGUGUGUGUGUAUAUAUACAUACAUGUGUGUGUGUGUGUAUACAUAUAUAUAUAUAUGUGUGUGUAUACAUAUAUAUAUAUAUGUGUGUGUGUGUAUAUACACACACAUGCAAAAGAAAUCUAAUUUGUGCAGCUGAUGGAUACAUAUAUAUGCGUGUGUAUGUAUUACAUAUAUAUAUAUAUAUAUAUAUAUAUAUAUAUACACACAUGUAUAUAUAUAUGUGUGUGUGUGUAUACAUGCAUGCAUUCAUAAAUAUAUACGUAUCUAUGAAUACAUAACUGUUCCAUAAAUACAUGUAUAUAUUUAUGUAUUUUGAUAUAUAUAUGUAUGUAUGUAUAUAUAUACAUACAUACAUAUAUACACUCACAUGUAUAUACAUAUCUAUACAGAUGUAUAUUUGUAUAAGUUUAUGUGUGUUCGGAUUUUUGUUUUGAGUUUAUGUUUCAGUAGCUAUGAUGUGAGGUUUCAGUAUCUUCCCAUUGCCACGUAUGUCUGCAUGUAUAAUAUAAUUUUUUUUUUAUAUAUAUAUAUUCUGAAAAGAACACAACAAACACCUUUGAAGUAACCCUUUAUCAAAGACAAUCCGGAAUUAGCAUCUCAAUGAAUUUAUUGAACUAAACUUCAUUAAUCAACUCUCAUUAAUUCAUCCUUCAAGAAUAUUUUACAUAUCUCAUUAUUUUCUGAUUGUAUGGGUUUUUCCUAUACAAUUCCAUUUCUUUCCAUUGUUUCAUUAUUUGUAUGUUUACUAUCGUCUUCAAAAAUAUUGAAGACACUUUGGCAGUAACAUUAGAGCUACAAAUUUAAAGCCUCACGUUUUUUUUUUUAGUCAAGUCACUCUAUGAGCUGAAAUUUACUCUUAUUUGAUGAGCUUUGUCUUUCAAUCCCAUCUGUGUUGAUACAUAAACAAACUGGUUUAACAGUGGGUCUGCUUUAAUGAACUAUAAUUUUCCGUAAACAUUGAGGCAUUGUGCCAAAGUUAGAUAUCAUUCUUAUUCCUUGCCUUAUAGCCGUAGCAUACCAAACUAUGUUAUGCCUUUCAUUAAUUACCUAUGCUCAUGUCAGUUUGGAAAUCAAAUCCUACUAUUGUCGACUUUGCCUUCUAUCUUGCUGGUGGUGGUCGAUAAAUGAAGUACCAACCCUAAACUGAAAUAUCUCCCUUUCACUAUAUAUCCCCAUUCUCCUACAAUUUUUUAGGCUUGCCAAUGUAAGAAGUCUUUACCAUAAAUAUUUCGUUUUUGAGAUAGGCACGAACUUCACAGCUAGCCAUGUCUCUCCCUUCAAUAUAUUAGGCCUUUGUGCCGACUCAAAACUAUUAUUAUGAAGACAUUUUUUUAUAAAUAUAUUAACAGUUGCUAACUAAAAUUAGUUACGCAAUUCAAAGUAUAUGGUAUAAUGAAAAAGAAAAAAAAAACCAAAACCAGAGACACACUUUGUUCUUUACUCCUAAGAUAAAAUUAAAAAGGAGCAAAGUUACUUAUAAAAUUCAAAACUAGAAAGAAAUAAAACAAAUGUAUUUGAGAGGCCAUCUUUUCCACAAAUCUUGCCGCACUCACGUUUCAAUAUUAAUUCCUGUAAUUUUCCUUUUAUCUAACUUAACAUCAUUCAUCAGUUGCUUCAUUUUCAAUCAUCAUUGUAUAAAUAAUAUAUUGAUUUGUUUGCUUGUUUGUUUUUUUGACAUGAUAAUGUAGCAAUCAGAAGAAAAGAAAAGAAAACAAUUACAAAAAAAAAAAUCAAAAAAAUUAUUAUAAUGGACAACAACACCAACAACAUAAAGAAAACGGACAAUUUUUUUUGUGUGUGUGGAGGGGGGUACGUUAAGAAAUUAAGUAAUUAAAACGAAAACAAAACAAAAACAAAAAAAGAGAUUUUUCUGAGUAAA